AACACUGCUACAGUAAAACUUGGGCUGAAAUGUAUUACAGACAACGGAGACCGAUUAGCUUAAUUUGUGAAAAUAUAAGGAUAUAUGGUGCAUAAAACAAAUCCUACGCAUAUAUAAUACAUUUACAUGCUAAGCAAUUGAUAUUUGCCUAAAUCACAAGUUCAAAACACCAUGCCAUCGCAGCUCCAAAACCAAAAGACUAGCCUUCUUCGAACUUGAACUUGAACUUGAACAUACCCAGGUGGACAUUUGAUAUGGUAUCUCGAACAAGAAUGCAGGUAGCCGAAGAAGAGAUUACAUGAUGGUUGCAAAACCAAAAGCCAAGGGGGAGAGACCAACGAGAGGAGGGAAGACACCAACGGGAGGAUUUUCAUACCUGAAACUGUGGAAUGCGGGUGUCCAAGGGCUCAAGAGAAACCCAAAAUGAGUGAGAAUGAAGGAGACAAGGGUGGUGAUGGGUGCCAUAUAUGAUAUAGAGAGUAUGAUAUAUUGAGUAGAUAUCUCAGUUGCUGAAAUGGGGUUUU
This 524-nucleotide long non-coding RNA is filed under the name Prunus dulcis (almond). RNAcentral's name for it is "sRNA ncRNA". Lineage: Eukaryota; Viridiplantae; Streptophyta; Magnoliopsida; Rosales; Rosaceae. The record is from RNAcentral.